RNAcentral lists this ribosomal RNA (433 nucleotides) under uncultured bacterium. Its description in RNAcentral is "partial 16S ribosomal RNA". It matches the Rfam family "Bacterial small subunit ribosomal RNA", at positions 29 to 507 of the family's 1533-position model. The record is from RNAcentral.
AACGAACGCUGGCGGCAUGCCUAACACAUGCAAGUCGAACGAGACCUUCGGGUCUAGUGGCGCACGGGUGCGUAACGCGUGGGAACCUGCCCUUAGGUUCGGAAUAACUCCCCGAAAGGGGUGCUAAUACCGGAUAAUGUCUUCGGACCAAAGAUUUAUCGCCUUUGGAUGGGCCCGCGUUGGAUUAGCUAGUUGGUAGGGUAAAAGCCUACCAAGGCGACGAUCCAUAGCUGGUCUGAGAGGAUGAUCAGCCACACUGGGACUGAGACACGGCCCAGACUCCUACGGGAAGCAGCAGUGGGGAAUAUUGGACAAUGGGCGAAAGCCUGAUCCAGCAAUGCCGCGUGAGUGAUGAAGGCCUUAGGGUUGUAAAGCUCUUUUACCCGGGAUGAUAAUGACAGUACCGGGAGAAUAAGCUCCGGCUAACACCGUG